Molecule: non-coding RNA, 77 nt
Organism: Parelaphostrongylus tenuis
Lineage: Eukaryota; Metazoa; Nematoda; Chromadorea; Rhabditida; Metastrongylidae
Source: the annotation of a GenBank genome assembly
GCGUCGGUAGUGCAACGGCUCGAGCACCACGCGCUCCCUGAUAGGGUGAGAUGCGCGUUCGAACCCCGUCUGACGCA